Molecule: unclassified non-coding RNA, 254 nt
Filed under: uncultured soil eukaryote
Lineage: Eukaryota
Description: sequence contains ITS2
Source: RNAcentral
GAAACCAAUCACCACCUCCUCUUUGGGAGCGUGGUGGACAGUUUGUGCCUUCGUCAGAUUUGUGCUUCGGUGCAUCUGCAGACGUGGCAUUAAGUACAUGAGCAUACCUUCGGUCGGGCGCAUGCGCCUGAUAGACGUGACGAAAUGGUCUCUCUAAGAGCCUUACCUCCGUCUAUCUCUGAAGGUUAACCUCUCCAUGGCUGAAGAUAAACAAGCUUCGUGUAAGCCUGUUUGCCUUCAACAUUAACUCCUUU